AUUGAACGCUGGCGGCAUGCUUUACACAUGCAAGUCGAACGGCAGCGCGGGCUUCGGCCUGGCGGCGAGUGGCGAACGGGUGAGUAAUACAUCGGAACGUGCCCAGUAGUGGGGGAUAGCUCGGCGAAAGCCGGAUUAAUACCGCAUACGACCUGAGGGUGAAAGCGGGGGAUCUUCGGACCUCGCGCUAUUGGAGCGGCCGAUGGCAGAUUAGCUAGUUGGUGGGGUAAAGGCCUACCAAGGCGACGAUCUGUAGCUGGUCUGAGAGGACGACCAGCCACACUGGGACUGAGACACGGCCCAGACUCCUACGGGAGGCAGCAGUGGGGAAUUUUGGACAAUGGGCGAAAGCCUGAUCCAGCAAUGCCGCGUGUGUGAUGAAGGCCUUCGGGUUGUAAAGCACUUUUGGCGGGAAAGAAAAGGACUGUGCCAAUACCACGGUUUGAUGACGGUACCCGCAGAAUAAGCACCGGCUAACUACGUG
Molecule: ribosomal RNA, 484 nt
Filed under: uncultured bacterium
Lineage: Bacteria
Description: partial 16S ribosomal RNA
Rfam family: Bacterial small subunit ribosomal RNA
Source: RNAcentral